AGCCAAUUAUCUCGCUUUUGUGUGAGGCCCAAGGAUCACUCAUGCUUCCAGGCUGCACAGAGCACUGUUGGAUCUAGCUGAACGAAUUGUUUUCUCUGUCUCUGGGUAUCAACGGUUUCUGUACAGCACAGAUUAUGACAGCGUCUUUCUUAAGUGUACUCAGGCUCUCUCAGCCCUCACUGUGCUUCAACAGACUUAUCAUUUGGAGCACUGGCUCAGGAGUCGAAAUCACCAAUGGCUCAUCCAUC
Molecule: long non-coding RNA, 248 nt
Filed under: Homo sapiens (human)
Lineage: Eukaryota; Metazoa; Chordata; Mammalia; Primates; Hominidae
Description: HSALNT0369529
Source: RNAcentral